This 191-nucleotide small nuclear RNA is filed under the name Echeneis naucrates (live sharksucker). RNAcentral's name for it is "U2 spliceosomal RNA (ENSENLG00000000158.1)". It matches the Rfam family "U2 spliceosomal RNA". From Rfam's summary of the family: U2 is a small nuclear RNA (snRNA) component of the spliceosome (involved in pre-mRNA splicing). Complementary binding between U2 snRNA (in an area lying towards the 5' end but 3' to hairpin I) and the branchpoint sequence (BPS) of the intron results the bulging out of an unpaired adenosine, on the BPS, which initiates a nucleophilic attack at the intronic 5' splice site, thus starting the first of two transesterification reactions that mediate splicing. The record is from Rfam by way of RNAcentral. Lineage: Eukaryota; Metazoa; Chordata; Actinopteri; Carangiformes; Echeneidae.
AUCGCUUCUCGGCCUUUUGGCUAAGAUCAAGUGUAGUAUCUGUUCUUAUCAGUUUAAUAUCUGAUACGUCCCCUACCCGGGGACCAUAUAUUAAAUAGAUUUUUGGAACAGGGAGAUAGAAUAGGGGCUUGCUCCGUCCACUCCACGCAUCGACCUGGUAUUGCGGUAUCUCCAGGAAUGGUGCACUCCCU